This 301-nucleotide ribosomal RNA is filed under the name uncultured bacterium. RNAcentral's name for it is "partial 16S ribosomal RNA". It matches the Rfam family "Bacterial small subunit ribosomal RNA", at positions 509 to 809 of the family's 1533-position model. The record is from RNAcentral.
CAGUCGCCGCGGUAAUACGAAGGGGGCUAGCGUUGCUCGGAGUGACUGGGCGUAAAGGGCGCGUAGGCGGCGAUCAAAGUCAGGCGUGAAAUUCCUGGGCUCAACCUGGGGGCUGCGCUUGAUACUUGGUUGCUUGAGUGGGGAAGAGGGUCGUGGAAUUCCCAGUGUAGAGGUGAAAUUCGUAGAUAUUGGGAAGAACACCGGUGGCGAAGGCGGCGACCUGGUCCUUGACUGACGCUGAGGCGCGAAAGCGUGGGGAGCAAACAGGAUUAGAUACCCCUGUAGUCCCUGUCUCUUAUAA